RNAcentral lists this ribosomal RNA (473 nucleotides) under uncultured bacterium. RNAcentral describes it as "bacterial SSU rRNA". It matches the Rfam family "Bacterial small subunit ribosomal RNA", at positions 335 to 801 of the family's 1533-position model. The record is from RNAcentral.
ACUCCUACGGGAGGCAGCAGUAGGGAAUCUUCCACAAUGGGCGCAAGCCUGAUGGAGCAACACCGUGUGAGUGAAGAAGGGUUUCGGCUCGUAAAGCUCUGUUGUUAAAGAAGAACACGUAUGAGAGUAACUGUUCAUACGUUGACGGUAUUUAACCAGAAAGUCACGGCUAACUACGUGCCAGCAGCCGCGGUAAUACGUAGGUGGCAAGCGUUAUCCGGAUUUAUUGGGCGUAAAGAGAGUGCAGGCGGUUUUCUAAGUCUGAUGUGAAAGCCUUCGGCUUAACCGGAGAAGUGCAUCGGAAACUGGAUAACUUGAGUGCAGAAGAGGGUAGUGGAACUCCAUGUGUAGCGGUGGAAUGCGUAGAUAUAUGGAAGAACACCAGUGGCGAAGGCGGCUACCUGGUCUGCAACUGACGCUGAGACUCGAAAGCAUGGGUAGCGAACAGGAUUAGAUACCCUGGUAGGAUAGCG